AGCUAUACAUGCAGUCGAGCGAAUGGAUUGAGAGCUUGCUCUCAAGAAGUUAGCGGCGGACGGGUGAGUAACACGUGGGUAACCUGCCCAUAAGACUGGGAUAACUCCGGGAAACCGGGGCUAAUACCGGAUAACAUUUUGAACUGCAUGGUUCGAAAUUGAAAGGCGGCUUCGGCUGUCACUUAUGGAUGGACCCGCGUCGCAUUAGCUAGUUGGUGAGGUAACGGCUCACCAAGGCAACGAUGCGUAGCCGACCUGAGAGGGUGAUCGGCCACACUGGGACUGAGACACGGCCCAGACUCCUACGGGAGGCAGCAGUAGGGAAUCUUCCGCAAUGGACGAAAGUCUGACGGAGCAACGCCGCGUGAGUGAUGAAGGCUUUCGGGUCGUAAAACUCUGUUGUUAGGGAAGAACAAGUGCUAGUUGAAUAAGCUGGCACCUUGACGGUACCUAACCAGAAAGCCACGGCUAACUACGUGCCAGCAGCCGCGGUAAUACGUAGGUGGCAAGCGUUAUCCGGAAUUAUUGGGCGUAAAGCGCGCGCAGGUGGUUUCUUAAGUCUGAUGUGAAAGCCCACGGCUCAACCGUGGAGGGUCAUUGGAAACUGGGAGACUUGAGUGCAGAAGAGGAAAGUGGAAUUCCAUGUGUAGCGGUGAAAUGCGUAGAGAUAUGGAGGAACACCAGUGGCGAAGGCGACUUUCUGGUCUGUAACUGACACUGAGGCGCGAAAGCGUGGGGAGCAAACAGGAUUAA
RNAcentral lists this ribosomal RNA (753 nucleotides) under Bacillus thuringiensis. Its description in RNAcentral is "bacterial SSU rRNA". It matches the Rfam family "Bacterial small subunit ribosomal RNA", at positions 47 to 781 of the family's 1533-position model. The record is from RNAcentral. Lineage: Bacteria; Bacillati; Bacillota; Bacilli; Caryophanales; Bacillaceae.